AGGAAAACAAUUCAAUCUGUGUAGUGAAUGAGUAUGAAGAUUUGGGGUUUUUGGAUUUGAGAAGCAGCAGUGGAGGAAGCAUAAGAUGGAGCUCAAGAAGUAGGCUAAUGAAGGGAAAAAUGCCAGAAGAGCCAUGUUACCCCAAGUUAGCAUUACAUGAAGGACAGCUCUUUUCAUCCAUGAAUGAUUCCAUAUCAGUGUUAUGUGGACCUGACUGGGUUUUGACAUCCAGGCUACGAAGAAGCAUUGGUGGUUCGAUCUGCGAUUUCUCCAUUGGCGGGGAUCGUCUUUUUGCACUUCACAGCGAGGAAAAUGUUUUCGAUAUAUGGGAGACACCACCGGCCCCUGUAAUUUCAUCAUUCAGUUAAUGAUUUGCUUCUUCCUCUUGAUAGAAAAAAGGGUUCUCUCCUUUUGGUUCUUAGAUUUGUAAGAUAAUAGUUGAAGAAAAAUGAAGAUGUAUAUAGCAGGACGUCUAAAUCAGAGAUCUUGGCUAAGAAAACUGAACAGAACAAAGUGAGAGAUUUAAAAUUUAGGUGCCAUUGCCA
This 545-nucleotide unclassified non-coding RNA is filed under the name Hevea brasiliensis (rubber tree). The record is from RNAcentral. Lineage: Eukaryota; Viridiplantae; Streptophyta; Magnoliopsida; Malpighiales; Euphorbiaceae.